GACGAACGCUGGCGGCGUGCUUAACACAUGCAAGUCGAACGAAGAGCGAUGGAAGCUUGCUUCUAUCAAUCUUAGUGGCGAACGGGUGAGUAACGCGUAAUCAACCUGCCCUUCAGAGGGGGACAACAGUUGGAAACGACUGCUAAUACCGCAUACGAUCUAAACUCGGCAUCGAGGAUAGAUGAAAGGUGGCCUCCACAUGUAAGCUAUCACCGAAGGAGGGGAUUGCGUCUGAUUAGCUAGUUGGAGGGGUAACGGCCCACCAAGGCGAUGAUCAGUAGCCGGUCUGAGAGGAUGAACGGCCACAUUGGGACUGAGACACGGCCCAGACUCCUACGGGAGGCAGCAGUGGGGAAUCUUCCGCAAUGGACGAAAGUCUGACGGAGCAACGCCGCGUGAGUGAUGACGGCCUUCGGGUUGUAAAGCUCUGUUAAUCGGGACGAAAGGCCUUCUUGCGAAUAGUGAGAAGGAUUGACGGUACCGGAAUAGAAAGCCACGGCUAACUACGUGCCAGCAGCCGCGGUAAUACGUAGGUGGCAAGCGUUGUCCGGAAUUAUUGGGCGUAAAGCGCGCGCAGGCGGAUAGGUCAGUCUGUCUUAAAAGUUCGGGGCUUAACCCCGUGAUGGGAUGGAAACUGCCAAUCUAGAGUAUCGGAGAGGAAAGUGGAAUUCCUAGUGUAGCGGUGAAAUGCGUAGAUAUUAGGAAGAACACCAGUGGCGAAGGCGACUUUCUGGACGAAAACUGACGCUGAGGCGCGAAAGCCAGGGGAGCGAACGGGAUUAGAUACCCCGGUAGUCCUGGCCGUAAACGAUGGGUACUAGGUGUAGGAGGUAUCGACCCCUUCUGUGCCGGAGUUAACGCAAUAAGUACCCCGCCUGGGGAGUACGACCGCAAGGUUGAAACUCAAAGGAAUUGACGGGGGCCCGCACAAGCGGUGGAGUAUGUGGUUUAAUUCGACGCAACGCGAAGAACCUUACCAGGUCUUGACAUUGAUGGACAGAACUAGAGAUAGUUCCUCUUCUUCGGAAGCCAGAAAACAGGUGGUGCACGGUUGUCGUCAGCUCGUGUCGUGAGAUGUUGGGUUAAGUCCCGCAACGAGCGCAACCCCUAUCUUAUGUUGCCAGCACGUAAUGGUGGGAACUCAUGAGAGACUGCCGCAGACAAUGCGGAGGAAGGCGGGGAUGACGUCAAAUCAUCAUGCCCCUUAUGACCUGGGCUACACACGUACUACAAUGGGAGUUAAUAGACGGAAGCGAGAUCGCGAGAUGGAGCAAACCCGAGAAACACUCUCUCAGUUCGGACCGUAGGCUGCAACUCGCCUACGUGAAGUCGGAAUCGCUAGUAAUCGCAGGUCAGCAUACUGCGGUGAAUACGUUCCCGGGCCU
Molecule: ribosomal RNA, 1385 nt
Filed under: uncultured bacterium
Lineage: Bacteria
Description: bacterial SSU rRNA
Rfam family: Bacterial small subunit ribosomal RNA
Source: RNAcentral